GUGCCAGCCGCCGCGGUAAUACGGAGGGUGCAAGCGUUAUCCGGAUUUAUUGGGUUUAAAGGGUCCGUAGGCGGAUGCGUAAGUCAGUGGUGAAAUCUCACGGCUCAACUGUGAAACUGCCAUCGAUACUGCGUGUCUUGAGUGAGGUUGAAGUAGCUGGAAUAAGUAGUGUAGCGGUGAAAUGCAUAGAUAUUACUUAGAACACCAAUUGCGAAGGCAGGUUACUAAGUCUCAACUGACGCUGAUGGACGAAAGCGUGGGGAGCGAACAGGAUUAGAUACCCUGGUAGUCCACGCUGUAAACGAUGCUAACUCGUUUUUGGGGAUUUAUCUUCAGAGACUAAGCGAAAGUGAUAAGUUAGCCACCUGGGGAGUACGAACGCAAGUUUGAAACUCAAAGGAAUUGACGGGGGCCCGCGCAAGCGGUGGAUUAUGUGGUUUAAUUCGAUGAUACGCGAGGAACCUUACCAAGGCUUAAAUGAG
This 482-nucleotide ribosomal RNA is filed under the name uncultured Chryseobacterium sp. RNAcentral describes it as "bacterial SSU rRNA". It matches the Rfam family "Bacterial small subunit ribosomal RNA", at positions 505 to 989 of the family's 1533-position model. The record is from RNAcentral. Lineage: Bacteria; Pseudomonadati; Bacteroidota; Flavobacteriia; Flavobacteriales; Weeksellaceae.